GACGAACGCUGGCGGCGUGCCUAAUACAUGCAAGUUGAGCGCUGAAGGUUGGUACUUGUACCUACUGGAUGAGCAGCGAACGGGUGAGUAACGCGUGGGGAAUCUGCCUUUGAGCGGGGGACAACAUUUGGAAACGAAUGCUAAUACCGCAUAAAAACUUUAAACACAAGUUUUAAGUUUGAAAGAUGCAAUUGCAUCACUCAAAGAUGAUCCCGCGUUGUAUUAGCUAGUUGGUGAGGUAAAGGCUCACCAAGGCGAUGAUACAUAGCCGACCGGAGAGGGUGAUCGGCCACAUUGGGACUGGGACACGGCCCAAACUCCUACGGGAGGCAGCAGUAGGGAAUCUUCGGCAAUGGACGAAAGUCUGACCGAGCAACGCCGCGUGAGUGAAGAAGGUUUUCGGAUCGUAAAACUCUGUUGGUAGGGAAGAACGUUGGUGAGAGUGGAAAGCUCAUCAAGUGACGGUAACUACCCAGAAAGGGACGGCUAACUACGUG
RNAcentral lists this ribosomal RNA (497 nucleotides) under uncultured bacterium. RNAcentral describes it as "partial 16S ribosomal RNA". It matches the Rfam family "Bacterial small subunit ribosomal RNA", at positions 28 to 507 of the family's 1533-position model. The record is from RNAcentral.